GUGGCAGCAGCCGCGGUAAUACCGGCGGCUCGAGUGGUGGCCACUUUUAUUGGGCUUAAAGCGUUCGUAGCUGGGUUGUUAAGUCUCUUGGGAAAUCUGGCAGCUUAACUGUCAGGCGUCUAAGAGAUACUGGCAAUCUAGGAACCGGGAGAGGUGAGGGGUACUUCGGGGGUAGGAGUGAAAUCCUGUAAUCCUCGAGGGACCACCUGUGGCGAAGGCGCCUCACCAGAACGGCUUCGACAGUGAGGGACGAAAGCUGGGGGAGCAAACCGGAUUAGAUACCCGGGUAGUCCCAGCCGUAAACGAUGCGCGUUAGGUGUGUCGAUGACCACGAGUCAUCGAGGUGCCGAAGGGAAACCGUGAAACGCGCCGCCUGGGAAGACUUCGCUAC
Molecule: ribosomal RNA, 391 nt
Filed under: uncultured archaeon
Lineage: Archaea
Description: bacterial SSU rRNA
Rfam family: Archaeal small subunit ribosomal RNA
Source: RNAcentral